Molecule: long non-coding RNA, 342 nt
Filed under: Coffea arabica (coffee)
Lineage: Eukaryota; Viridiplantae; Streptophyta; Magnoliopsida; Gentianales; Rubiaceae
Description: long non-coding RNA (CARA_LNC004625)
Source: RNAcentral
UUCUCCAAACUCUUUCUCCUCUCUCAAGCGAAUUUGAGCUCACUACACCCUCAAACUAGAAGAACUAUGUAGUAUAUAUUCUUGGUCUUCAAGAGCCAAUCUCUCUACUCAAUAAUGUGUUUCUUUGUUGUUAAAAGUCAACAAAAGAAGCUCCUAGAUCCUCCAAAAGUUGGUACAAAUUGUUCUUUUGUGUCUUGUCCAAGAUAAAGAAAGAAGCAAGAAGCAUGCAAGUUGGCAACUUGCAGCUGCCAGGAAUCCCUUGGAUGAAUCCCUGGAGGGAUUCUCCAAGGAAUUGUGCAGAGCAACUAUGAAAACACCAUUCUGGAUGCCAUCUGCGGUUUC